UAUAAAAGAUAGUGUCUACUUAACUCCAGUUGGUUCUUUAUUGGUAUACAUACAAUCGACCCAAAAUAAACUAAAUAGUAGUACAAUUCUCUAGGUGAUUCAUCGGAUAGCUCAUCGGAUGAGUAUUCUGCCUCUCCUCCAAAACCAAAGAAGACAAGAAAAUCUGUAGAGAAGAGGAAGAAAGGAAAGUCGCCAACAGUUGACGUGUCGAAGUAUUUCGCCAAAGUCGUCCGUGGAGUCAGCGCCUAUUGGGAAGAUUUGGCACACAAGCUGGGUUUGGAGGGAAACGAGAUAGAUGUUAUACAGCGAAAUAAACACGACUGCGAUAGCAGGUGUUGGGAGGUGUUGACAAAGUGGAAGAACGACAGAGCAGAAGCAGCAACUCCCCAGGUCCUGAAGAAGGCUCUUAUUGGAAUGGGCCACAGGCUCACGGCAGAGAGAUUGGAUGAUCCGUCUGAGGAUGACUGAAGUCUGCUUGAUCGUACUAAAAUAGAUGUCGUUUUUGUACGGUUGGAAUUUUAAUACAAUGAAUUCUUGUCAAUUUUAUUCGUUUUUAGAUGUGUAGUUUUGCUGUUUUUUUACUGUAUUGAUUUGCUGACAUGACCCUUGUAUUGUGUGCCGCUUUUCAAUUGUACUGAAAGUUUUUUUAAGAUGGCGAUUAUUUCAAAAUGUAACGAAUUUGGUAAUUACCUUCGCCAAGAAGGUUAUGUUUUUUGUGUAUUUGUUAGUUUCUACAGUAGUGCAUAAAAAUUAUAUGAUUGCAAUAUCAUGGCAUGCAUCUGUGCAUGCAACGUUUGGUAUCUUCAAUUCUGGAAUGUUAUCCAUUGGGUACUCAUGAUGACCUCUAGCGAUUCAGUUGGUAAUUGCAGUGUUUUCCGUACCCUCCUACCAUGACAAUACCAAAGACCAAAUACAUCGCAUUAUUAUGAAAACGGCAAUGUACUAACGU
This is a long non-coding RNA of Branchiostoma belcheri (Belcher's lancelet), 949 nucleotides long. RefSeq lists it as uncharacterized. The record is from RefSeq and is a predicted model, not a curated record. The transcript has 3 exons. NCBI's taxonomy places the organism in Eukaryota, Metazoa, Chordata, Leptocardii, Amphioxiformes, Branchiostomatidae.